This 253-nucleotide ribosomal RNA is filed under the name uncultured bacterium. Its description in RNAcentral is "partial 16S ribosomal RNA". It matches the Rfam family "Bacterial small subunit ribosomal RNA", at positions 524 to 776 of the family's 1533-position model. The record is from RNAcentral.
UACGGAGGGUGCAAGCGUUGUCCGGAUUUAUUGGGUUUAAAGGGUGCGUAGGCGGCUGUUUAAGUCAGUGGUGAAAGACUCCGGCUCAACCGGAGCAGUGCCAUUGAUACUGGAUAGCUUGAGUAUUGGAGGGGUACAUGGAAUUGAUGGUGUAGCGGUGAAAUGCAUAGAUACCAUAAGGAACACCGAUAGCGAAGGCAUUGUACUUAUCGACAACUGACGCUGAGGCACGAAAGCGCGGGUAGCGAACAGG